RNAcentral lists this long non-coding RNA (1059 nucleotides) under Prunus persica (peach). Its description in RNAcentral is "long non-coding RNA (PPER_LNC004688)". The record is from RNAcentral. Lineage: Eukaryota; Viridiplantae; Streptophyta; Magnoliopsida; Rosales; Rosaceae.
AGAGUAACAGUAAAAGUGAGAAAGUAGUUACCCUUUUUACUUGGGUACUAUUCUCUAUUUAUAGGGAAGUGAAAGUGGGAGCUUGGCACCAAGUUUGGAUGUGGGACUUUGUGCAAGAUGCUGUGGUGGUGACACGUGUCUUAGAGAUUAGGUUCGGCAGUUGAGAGCUUCGGAAGUCGAGAGCUUCGGCAGAUCUGGCACCUAGGAAGAGUGUCUUCCUUCGGCAGGAGAGAAGGCGUGUCUGCCUUAGUGCUAGUCAUUUUGAGGCUGAAUAUGCUCGGUUGAUUAUGGUGUAAACAGUAGUCCCCUAAGUUCGUGGUCAAGAAGUAACUUCUGGGUUGGGAACUUGUGAGAUUUUUGUGUAACCGUGACCGAGCAUUGUAGAUUCAGUGGGAGCCAUAGGGCAUUCCUUAGAAGUUGCGUCAACACUUGAAAGGUAUCGUAGAAGCUGUGUGAUCCUCUGGAACUGUUAGUAGCUGGGCACCUGGGCGUUCUGCAAGGAGAAGGUAGGUGACCCCUUGUGAGCCCACUAGGCCUUUGGCAAAGAGCAAGUGACGUUCUUCUACUUGGGCCUCAAGGGCUUGGCCAUGAUAAGGUUUGGCAAGGAUCUUAAAUGGAGAAAAAGGGGCAUGUGAGUACGUACUGGCUAUGGCAUGUCCCUUGCCAUUCGGCAAGGGUUGGUUGAAUAACAUUUUGGUGAGCCUUCCCCCCUUCUGCGGUGUCUACCGUUCGGCAAGACUUUCCCCCCUUUUUUAUUUUAUUUAUUUAUUUUUUUUAGGGUUCUUGGGCCUCUAUUUGUUUUGGCCAGGUACCUGCCAUUCGACAAGCGGGCCAAGGGCAUUUGAGGUUCAGUACGUGGGCUGCAAGGGGAGUUCGUCAAGGUAGCAAGUUUUGAGUCAAGUCUUUGUGGAAUGGGCUGGGCCUUUGUUGGAGCUAGGGUUUGGGAGAGGAGGUGUGAUGUCCUUUAAAAACCAAACCUGCUGUUCGGCAAGGUCAUGUCGAGAGUGGCAAGGUAAUUUCGGCAAGGGAAAAUACCAUUAAGCAUUCGGCAAGACUACC